This 77-nucleotide transfer RNA is filed under the name Candidatus Moraniibacteriota bacterium. RNAcentral's name for it is "Candidatus Moranbacteria bacterium (sediment metagenome) tRNA-Val". It matches the Rfam family "tRNA". From Rfam's summary of the family: Transfer RNA (tRNA) molecules are approximately 80 nucleotides in length. Their secondary structure includes four short double-helical elements and three loops (D, anti-codon, and T loops). Further hydrogen bonds mediate the characteristic L-shaped molecular structure. tRNAs have two regions of fundamental functional importance: the anti-codon, which is responsible for specific mRNA codon recognition, and the 3' end, to which the tRNAs corresponding amino acid is attached (by aminoacyl-tRNA synthetases). tRNAs cope with the degeneracy of the genetic code in two manners: having more than one tRNA (with a specific anti-codon) for a particular amino acid; and 'wobble' base-pairing, i.e. permitting non-standard base-pairing at the 3rd anti-codon position. Lineage: Bacteria; Candidatus Moraniibacteriota. The record is from RNAcentral.
GGACGCUUAGCUCAGUUGGUUAGAGCGUCUCGUUUACACCGAGAAGGCCGGGGGUCCGAAUCCCUCAGCGUCCACAA